Long non-coding RNA from Zingiber officinale, 251 nucleotides. RefSeq lists it as uncharacterized. NCBI's taxonomy places the organism in Eukaryota, Viridiplantae, Streptophyta, Magnoliopsida, Zingiberales, Zingiberaceae. The record is from RefSeq and is a predicted model, not a curated record. The transcript is spliced from 2 exons.
GAUCGAUUUUUGCUGUGAGUAUGUGUUGGGUGUCACCGAUCGCUGGAAUAUCUGAUUCUAGCCAUUCCCUGGCUUGACGAGGAAUUUCUGGCCACAGGAAGGGUUAAGACUGGAUAGGGCCACCAAUUUUGGUAGAGGUCAUCAGUUUCCUGUCUCUCACAGUUGCAAUUAGAGAGGAAGUUACUUUGGAUUUAGAUUAAGGUAAGGUAUGUUCAGUACCUAAUUAAUAGAGAAUUUGUUCUGUUGCUGCA